This 66-nucleotide non-coding RNA is filed under the name Rubrivivax sp. RNAcentral describes it as "Fluoride sequence". It matches the Rfam family "Fluoride riboswitch aptamer (crcB RNA motif)". The record is from RNAcentral. Lineage: Bacteria; Pseudomonadati; Pseudomonadota; Betaproteobacteria; Burkholderiales; Sphaerotilaceae.
CGCGGCCCUGGAGAUGGCAUGCCUCCAUGAACCGCCGCGUCAGCGGCUGAUGAUGCCUGCGCUGGG